RNAcentral lists this transfer RNA (65 nucleotides) under Nerodia clarkii clarkii. RNAcentral's name for it is "tRNA-His". The record is from RNAcentral. Lineage: Eukaryota; Metazoa; Chordata; Lepidosauria; Squamata; Natricidae.
GAGUGAGUAAUUUAAAUAAAAUAUCAAGCUGUGACCAUGACAAUAGGAACCCAUCCUCACACACC